This 434-nucleotide ribosomal RNA is filed under the name uncultured Ruminococcus sp. RNAcentral's name for it is "partial 16S ribosomal RNA". It matches the Rfam family "Bacterial small subunit ribosomal RNA", at positions 341 to 792 of the family's 1533-position model. The record is from RNAcentral. Lineage: Bacteria; Bacillati; Bacillota; Clostridia; Eubacteriales; Oscillospiraceae.
ACGGAAGGCAGCAGUGGGGAAUAUUGGACAAUGGGCGCAAGCCUGAUGCAGCGAUGCCGCGUGAGGGAAGAAGGUUUUCGGAUUGUAAACCUCUGUCAACAGGGACGAAAUAGACGGUACCUGUGAAGGAAGCUCCGGCUAACUACGUGCCAGCAGCCGCGGUAAUACGUAGGGAGCAAGCGUUAUCCGGAAUUACUGGGUGUAAAGGGAGUGUAGGCGGGACUGUAAGUCAGAUGUGAAAUAUACCGGCUCAACUGGUAGACUGCAUUUGAAACUGCGGUUCUUGAGUGAAGUAGAGGUAAGCGGAAUUCCUAGUGUAGCGGUGAAAUGCGUAGAUAUUAGGAGGAGCACCAGUGGCGAAGGCGGCUUACUGGGGUUUAACUGACGCUGAGGCUCGAAAGCGUGGGGAGCAAACAGGAUUAGAUACCCUGGUA